RNAcentral lists this ribosomal RNA (162 nucleotides) under Enterococcus faecium. RNAcentral describes it as "partial 16S ribosomal RNA". It matches the Rfam family "Bacterial small subunit ribosomal RNA", at positions 1380 to 1533 of the family's 1533-position model. The record is from RNAcentral. Lineage: Bacteria; Bacillati; Bacillota; Bacilli; Lactobacillales; Enterococcaceae.
CUUGUACACACCGCCCGUCACACCACGAGAGUUUGUAACACCCGAAGUCGGUGAGGUAACCUUUUGGAGCCAGCCGCCUAAGGUGGGAUAGAUGAUUGGGGUGAAGUCGUAACAAGGUAGCCGUAUCGGAAGGUGCGGCUGGAUCACCUCCUUUCUAAGGAA